UACGUAGGGGGCAAGCGUUGUCCGGAUUCAUUGGGCGUAAAGAGCGUGCAGGCGGCCAGGUAGGUCGGUUGUGAAAACUGGAGGCUCAACCUUCAGAGGUCGACCGAAACCAUCUGGCUAGAGUCCGGGAGAGGAGAGUGGAAUUCCUGGUGUAGCGGUGAAAUGCGCAGAUAUCAGGAAGAACACCCGUGGCGAAAGCGGCUCUCUGGAACGGUACUGACGCUGAGACGCGAAAGCGUGGGGAGCGAACAGG
RNAcentral lists this ribosomal RNA (253 nucleotides) under uncultured bacterium. RNAcentral's name for it is "partial 16S ribosomal RNA". It matches the Rfam family "Bacterial small subunit ribosomal RNA", at positions 524 to 776 of the family's 1533-position model. The record is from RNAcentral.